CCCCUAGAUGUUCUGGGCCGCACGCGCGCUACACUGAACAGUUCAACAAGUCUUAACCUUGGCCGAUAGGUCUGGGUAAUCUUUGAACGCUGUUCGUGAUUGGGAUAGACCUUUGCAAUUAUGGGUCUUCAACGAGGAAUUCCUAGUAAACGCAAGUCAUCAGCUUGCAUUGAUUACGUCCCUGCCCUUUGUACACACCGUCCGUCGCACCUACCGAUUGAAUGGUCCGGUGAAAUCUCGGGACGGCGGCUUGGUCGCUUGCGUCCGACUGCUGAAACUUGAUUAAACCAUAUCAUUUAGAGGAAGGUGAGGUCGUAACA
This 320-nucleotide ribosomal RNA is filed under the name uncultured eukaryote. RNAcentral describes it as "partial 18S ribosomal RNA". It matches the Rfam family "Eukaryotic small subunit ribosomal RNA", at positions 1470 to 1796 of the family's 1831-position model. The record is from RNAcentral.